AGGUAAUCCCUGCCCUAUGUCUUACAAAUGGCCGCAGUAUCCUAACUGUGCUAAGGUAGCAUAAUAAUUUGUCUUUUAAUUUAAGACUUGAAUGAAGGGGUAAACAUAAUAAUUACUAUAUCUUAUAAACCCAUAUAAACUUUACUUUUAGUGAAAAUACUAAAAUUUAAAUAAAGGACAAGAAGACCCUGUGGAGCUUUAAUUCUAUAAAUUUUAGUUGGGGCGACUUAGGAAAAUAAAAAACUUCCUACUUAUAAAAAACUUAUUAGUUAUUAUAUGAACCUACAGGAACAAAAACUAGCUACCCCAGGGUUAACAGGCUUAAAAUCUUUAAGAGCUCAUAUUGACAAGAUUUUUGGCACCUCGAUGUUGGCUUAGUAACUCUCUUUAUCGCAAAAGAUAAAAAAGAAGGUUUGUUCACCCUUUAAAAUACUACGUGAUCUGAGUCC
This 449-nucleotide ribosomal RNA is filed under the name Trilobodrilus heideri. RNAcentral describes it as "partial large subunit ribosomal RNA". It matches the Rfam family "Bacterial large subunit ribosomal RNA", at positions 1850 to 2612 of the family's 2925-position model. The record is from RNAcentral. Lineage: Eukaryota; Metazoa; Annelida; Polychaeta; Dinophilidae.